This 5118-nucleotide long non-coding RNA is filed under the name Coffea arabica (coffee). RNAcentral's name for it is "long non-coding RNA (CARA_LNC000370)". The record is from RNAcentral. Lineage: Eukaryota; Viridiplantae; Streptophyta; Magnoliopsida; Gentianales; Rubiaceae.
CAGCGGCAAUCCAGGAAGGGAAAUAGGUGAGUCUGAAAGAGGGACCGGUAGAAGCCCAUGAUAAACAUGGUAGUAGAUGCUGUUUACAGCACAAGUUUGAGUGAAAAAAGCAGCCGUAACAAGUCCAAACCGCUUAGCUACAUCAAGAGCCCAUGUCAAGUGUGGAUCAUAAAUCACGGCCUGAACUGGUUCGCCAUCGUCUUCUAGUUUCGUGAUAAGAUCAGCCAAGGUUUUCGAGCCGACGGUGGCAAAUUUUUCCACGUAGGCCUCGAAGCUUUCAGCUGCUGCAUAGCCACCGUCGUCGUAGCCAUCUGAAAUGGUUUCAAAGUUAAUUGACCUCUUAGGAUCGGCGUGCAUAGACUUGGACAGGGAGACAGUGUUGGCAAAGGUGACUUUGACACCCUUUGCCUCCAAACGCUUACAGAAUUGGAGCAGGGGGUUUAUGUGGCCCUGGACAGGAAGUGGCAGAGCUAGAACAUGAACUUUGCUUGAUGCCAUCGUCAUUUCCUUCGAUUUUUCUGUGUAUUGCUGUCCGAGUACUGCGACUACUAAUGACUAACAAGAAUGCCGUUCUUACCCGGUGGACCGCAGCCGUCUGCUGGCUGCCAGAGUUGACUUGUCAGAAAGAAAAAGAUAUGGAAAGGAGCUAGGAAGGCAUUCCCCAUGUAUUAACUGGGGAAAAAAAAAGAACUGCCAGGAUAUCUUGAACGUUGGCAUAUGAUGAUCUUCCAAUUUCCAAUGGUUUUAGAUGGAAUUUUCAUCGUAACAUAUUUCGGGGACUGCUCUUGCAAUAUUGUAAUUCAUCCAUCAGUACUUUUUUUUUUUUUUUUUUUGUAUUAUCAAACAAACCAGUCAUUGAUUGGAUGAAUUUUCAAGACACAGUUAAUAUUUAUGAAAUGCUAUGCAGAGACUCGUCAAUUUUAGAAUGGACUCAUUCAGUAUGCAGUCAUCUUCCAAACAAGUUUUCUUUCUUCCAUUUUUUUUUUUGGGAUUUUUUAGCAUAUCUAAAUGUUUUUUUUAUACACAAAUUCAUUUUAGAAUCCAAAUUCAAAUUGAAAUGAUCUGAUAUAGAUCCAAACGACUCAACCUUCAACAUUAAUUUAAAGAGGAAACAAAUUUGUUUAUGUUUAAGAAGAAUGCCGUUCAAUUAUAGCGGCAGGAAUUUUAGAUGAAGAACCUCUUAGAACGGUCUUACUGUGCAAGGCUUGUAAUAAUAAUGAUAAUAAUUGAUUUUUUUUUUCCGGAAACGUUAGAAUAAUAAUUGAUAUUUGCAUGGGGGAGAUAGGUACGUGCUAUUCGACGGCUAAUUGGACUAUUGACCUCUUUUAUGUCUUCUUUUGCCAAAGCACGUUACCGGCUAUUGUCUUUUAUUCUGCCAUGGUGGGAGCCUGCUCUGCUGGCUUGCUAUUCUAGUGGUCAUUAGUGACGUUAGGUUAGUCGGCCCUUCUCAUCAAAAAAAAACUCCAGCAUCCUUUUGCCAUGUACUCUCUCAGCCAAGACAUGGAGUAUUAUACUUUGCUUCGGCCAACACUUUCUCAAUUAAAAUUAGGGUUUGGCUAAUGAAUGAUUGAAAAAUUCGUUGAAAUAGUUUCAAGGGUUAAUUUUUUGACGAAAGGUAAAAUUAAUUUGAGAAGGGAUAGUAAAUGUAAAUGUGUGCAUUGACGUGAUAAAUUAGUGUGUGUGUGUGUUUUUUUUUUUUUUUUUAAAAAUAACCUUAAAAUCAAACAUCAAACUUUACACUGAAUCAACAAUUCCCCUUGGAUAAUUAAUCGUCGCAAUAACUCGAUUAGAGUUGAUAGAUAGUUGGAUACCUAAAUUAUUUCAAAUAAUAUUUGGCUUGCAUCAUAAACACAUGCAUUUUCCAACCCACUUUUUUAUAUUUUCAACCAUAUUUUUAUUUCACAUAUAUCAAAUCAUAAAAAGUGCUACAAUAAGUAUUCUAAAUAAUAUUUCAAAUAAUACUCUAUCCAAACAAAUCUGUUAAUUAAUGGUCACGAUACUACUGCCUAUUUCUUUUCUUUUUUUUUAAAUCCCACAAUAAUAAUAAUAAUAAUAAUAAUAAUAAUAUUUCUUUCCCAAAAACAACAGAAGAGGAUGGGACUUAUUCUUAGUUGCAGCCGUCCUCAAUCUGGAAGCUCCAAUUGAAGCCUCUCUGUUCUUUUGUGGUCUUGUACGGAGCAAACACAACACAAGAAUAAGACAUGCAGUUGCUUGCUAAAAGCCAAAAAGAAACAAGAAUAUUUACAUAUGUGUUAGUUGCGUACCAAAACAGACAAGAGGAAGGGCCGGGGAAGAGAUGGAGACAGAGACGAGUUCACAAGAAGAAAAGUCGAACCAUACUUUUCUAGUAGAGAGAAGAAACUAAAACGAUUUUGAUGAAAGAAAAAACGAACUUCUUGUAGUCUUUUCUUUCCAUACAAUCAUAGAUCUUGUCUUUAAUUAUAUAUAUAUAUAUAUUUUUUCCACAAGCUCAUAGAAAUUAUUUUCUUCAUCCAACUUGAUAUUACUUUAACCGGAGCAUGAAUGAUUGUCAGCAGCUAGCUGUGCAUUACACCUACCAUAAUAACAUAUUAUUAGAUGAGAGUAUUGUACAAUUGCCCACCCACCCCUUGACCCACCUUUCAAGCCGAGCUCCUGCUUGACUUUUUUUUUUUUUUUUUUUUUUUUCGGUUGAAGGGUAUUCAGGCCUACAACUGAUUAGUCCCACCAACUCUGAGGAGAACGGACUCCACCGAUUCUUAGGAAAUUCCGCCGGAUUGCCAAGCUCGAGAUGGAAUCCAAACCGUCUCACCCUAAUGAGGACUAUACGACCGCUCGAGCAACCCGUUGGGGUGGCCCGUGCUUGACUGAGUCAGAAAUUUUGAAAAGAAAUGUGGGUGUUUGUAUUCUGGAUCGUUCCUAACUUAAAUUACGUACGAGGAAAUUUACUUUUGAAUCUUCUUUAAGUACCAUUAAAGAUGACAAGGGCCUUUUCCUUUGUAGUAUUUUCAAUUGGGAAGAAACUUGUGAUUCUUUCGUCCCCCCUGAAUAUCUUCUUUCCCAAAAUGCAAAUGGCUUUUUUCUUCCCCGUAAUCCCACAUGGAUUCAGCUUUCUCUUGGCCAAAUUGCCAGCAAACCUUGCUCGGUUUCAGUUCGCACGGUAGGAUCAAGUGUGAUUGGAUAGGAAAUUAUUUGAAAUAUUAUUCAAAAUAAUUAUCAUAGCAAGUUCUGCGAUGCGAUAUUUAUGUGAUAAAAAAUAAAUUUGUGAUACACCUUUUGCAAAAUGAUAUAUAUGAGAUAAAAAUGUGAUUAAGAAAAUAAAAAAGGUGCGUUGGAAAAAUGUAUUUAAAAUAUAGGUAAAUAAUUUUUUUUUUAAACAAAUAACUCCUAUCCAAACAUGGACUUGACUUCUCUUUAUUGGAUUUUCUUUGUUUUCUGUAGUGCACAUUUGGAUGCGUGACAGGUGUAUUUAUUUAUUAACUUUGAUGCAUGACAUUUAUAUCAUUUAUUAGCAAGGGUUAGGAUUGAUCAAAUAUAAAACCAUCAUGCCCUUUUCUAAUAAUGUCGAAAAUGUAGAGAGAAUCCACCACGGAGGAGCCAAAUUCAUCCAAACACACUCGAGAGAGGGAAAGACGGGAGGCUUCACCCGUAGAAAUAAGCACAAUUUUCUGGUUGAAGAAACUAAUAAAAUAUAUAAGUUGUCUCAUUUACUUCAUAUAUUUCAAAGAAACACGAAUCAUGACAUAGAAUUUAUCCGUGCAAGAAAUUAUUACAAAUAAAAAAGUACUAAAUUAUUUAUCACGAGAGUACUGUUUGGAGGACAAGGUACGUUGCCCUUUUCAGCGUAGCAUCUACGUCUAGUUCUUGGCUUUCUGGCCUGCUAAUCAGCAACAAAUUCAUCAAUGUUCUUAUCAGAACUUCCACCGUCAUCAAUAGCUUCUUUAGCUAAAGCCUUCCAUUCAAUGGCAUUCUCUUUAAUCUGCUUUCCCUUUUCGCCUCCAUAAUCUCCCUUAUACAGGAAACUAACGUUUCCCUUCUCACAAUUCCUUUCUCAUCCGCAUCAGCCUUUACACCAACCCCCCAAAUGUCGCGCGAGAAACUUAGCAUUGGUGGGCUGGUCUGUCCACUGCGGCGCUGCCACCACCGGCACCCCUAAACUCAACGCCUCCAGCACUGAAUUGAACCCGCAAUGAGUGACAAAACAAGCGACGGAUUCAUGUGCCAAUACCUCAAGCUGUGGACUCCAUGUCACCACCAAGCCUUUCUCGGAUGUCUCCUCAGCAAAUUUGCUUGGAAGCUUUUCCUUCUCAAAUGCUCUCACGACCCACAAGAAUUUGAAUCCGCUUUCCUUCAAAGCUGAAGCUAUUUCCUCCACUUGUUCUACGUCAAUUUCUGUCCAGCUACCAAAUGAUACAUAAACAACCGAGUCCUUAGGUUGACUAUUUAGCCAGUUGAUGCACAAGCUGGAGUCCGGCUUGAAGAGAUUUAUUCCAUAACCGAUAUCAUCCUCAAGGCGUUUAUCCAAGUAAAUGGAUGGAACUGUUGGACCGACUGUAAUCACUCGCCAAAGUUUCGCAAUCCAAUUCACCGCCUGUUUGAUGGUAACAACAAACAAAAAGAGAUCAAAGUUGGUAGAUUUAUUAUACUGCAUAGAAUUUAGGAUCCCUGUAAGUCAUACUGUUCUUGCUAAGAGAGAGGCUCAGUCGUAAGUAGGAAAGGUCUAUGCAGUAUAGUUGUAUAAGGGGAAGAAAUGCUUACAUCUUCCUCCAAUUUGUGGAAAUUGUUGAGGAUGACCCAAUCUGCUUGAUCAACGUUGGAGAACUGAUUGACAAGCAUGUGAAGAAAAGCAGGAUACGAAUCGGGAAGGUAAACAAAGGACGGAGUUUCCUUUGGUUGGAGCAGUGGCAAUCCAGGAAGGGAAAUAGGUGAGUCUGAAAGAGGGACCGGUAGAAGUCCAUGAUAAACAUUGUAGUAGAUGCUGUUUACAGCACAAGUUUGAGUGAAAAAGGCAGCUGUAACAAGUCCAAAUUGCUUAGCUACAUCAAGAGCCCAUGUCAAGAACGAAUCAUAAAUCACGGCCUGAACUGGUUCGCCCUUGUCCUCAAGCUUCCUGAUAAGAUCAGCCAACGCCUUUGAGCC